AGCGAACGCUAGCGGAUGGCUUAACACAUGCAAGUCGAGCGGGAACUUCGGUUCCAGCGGCGGACGGGUGAGUAACACGUAGGGCACCUGCCCUCUGGUGGGGAAUAGCCGGCCGAAAGGCCGAUUAAUACCGCAUAUGGCCUACGGGUCAAAGCAGUAAUGCGCCAGGGGAUGGUCCUGCGUCCGAUUAUUUAGUCCUAGUUGGUGGGGUAACGGCCUACCAAGGGUACGAUCGGUAGCUGGUCUUAGAGGACGAUCAGCCACACUGGAACUGAGACACGGUCCAGACUCCUACGGGAGGCAGCAGUGGGGAAUAUUGCGCAAUGGGCGAAAGCCUGACGCAGCCAAUCCGCGUGGGUGAUGAAGGCCUUCGGGUUGUAAAGCCCUGUCGUGUGGGAAGAAUAAUGACGGUACCACACAAGAAAGCACCGGCUAACCCCGUG
RNAcentral lists this ribosomal RNA (443 nucleotides) under uncultured organism. Its description in RNAcentral is "bacterial SSU rRNA". It matches the Rfam family "Bacterial small subunit ribosomal RNA", at positions 29 to 507 of the family's 1533-position model. The record is from RNAcentral.